UGCCGUUGCGCAGGCCGCUGUAUAAGAGUCUCGGACGUUGAGACGAAGAAGCUGUACUCGACGGAAAAGCAGAUUGUAAGAUGACAGCUGUGGUUCUUUUGGCGGCAACCUGCAUGUGCUGCGUGGUGGUGACCGUAAAAGGAGAGGAAGGGAAUGCCGACUGCCCCAAAGUAGAAUGCGAUACCAAAGAUGGACGCUGCUCGCUGAGUAAAGACAAAGAGACCGGCUGUCCAAAGUGCACUUGCAAGCCAGAAUCCGAAGACGGCUGUGCGGAUUGCCCGGAAGGUUGCAUGCCGACCAUGUUCCAAAACAAAUGCACGGGAUGUGUCUCUGAAGAUGAUCCCAACACUGAAUGCAAUUAAUAAACGAAAAUAUCUUCAAGUA
Molecule: long non-coding RNA, 384 nt
Organism: Ornithodoros turicata
Lineage: Eukaryota; Metazoa; Arthropoda; Arachnida; Ixodida; Argasidae
Exons: 2
Source: RefSeq, a predicted model, not a curated record